AGCCUCCUGGUGCUUACACAGACUGUGUUCUUACACUGAUUGUAUAGAAAGAGAAGGCAAAGUAAAUUUACCCCAUAUACAUCUCAACCCAGGCCCUGUGCCUGGUCUGUAUUGUGAAUGGGGCGACGUGC
Molecule: small nucleolar RNA, 131 nt
Filed under: Castor canadensis (American beaver)
Lineage: Eukaryota; Metazoa; Chordata; Mammalia; Rodentia; Castoridae
Description: Small nucleolar RNA SNORA51 (ENSCCNG00000017489.1)
Rfam family: Small nucleolar RNA SNORA51
About the family: ACA51 is a member of the H/ACA class of snoRNA that guide the sites of modification of uridines to pseudouridines.
Source: Rfam by way of RNAcentral